GUAGAACGCUGAAGACUUUAGCUUGCUAAAGUUGGAAGAGUUGCGAACGGGUGAGUAACGCGUAGGUAACCUGCCUACUAGCGGGGGAUAACUAUUGGAAACGAUAGCUAAUACCGCAUAACAGCAUUUAACCCAUGUUAGAUGCUUGAAAGGAGCAAUUGCUUCACUAGUAGAUGGACCUGCGUUGUAUUAGCUAGUUGGUGAGGUAACGGCUCACCAAGGCGACGAUACAUAGCCGACCUGAGAGGGUGAUCGGCCACACUGGGACUGAGACACGGCCCAGACUCCUACGGGAGGCAGCAGUAGGGAAUCUUCGGCAAUGGGGGCAACCCUGACCGAGCAACGCCGCGUGAGUGAAGAAGGUUUUCGGAUCGUAAAGCUCUGUUGUAAGAGAAGAACGUGUGUGAGAGUGGAAAGUUCACACAGUGACGGUAACUUACCAGAAAGGGACGGCUAACUACGUGCCAGCAGCCGCGGUAAUACGUAGGUCCCGAGCGUUGUCCGGAUUUAUUGGGCGUAAAGCGAGCGCAGGCGGUUUAAUAAGUCUGAAGUUAAAGGCAGUGGCUUAACCAUUGUUCGCUUUGGAAACUGUUAGACUUGAGUGCAGAAG
Molecule: ribosomal RNA, 610 nt
Filed under: Streptococcus equinus
Lineage: Bacteria; Bacillati; Bacillota; Bacilli; Lactobacillales; Streptococcaceae
Description: bacterial SSU rRNA
Rfam family: Bacterial small subunit ribosomal RNA
Source: RNAcentral